UUCGGGUGGCUGGCGAGUGGCGAACGGGUGAGUAACACGUGGAAACCUGCCCUAGGGUACGGGACAACAGUUGGAAACGACUGCUAAUACCGUAUACGUCCUACGGGAGAAAGAUUUAUUGCCCUUGGAGGGGUCCGCGUUGGAUUAGCUAGUUGGUAGGGUAAAGGCCUACCAAGGCGACGAUCCAUAGCUGGUCUUAGAGGACGAUCAGCCACACUGUGACUGAGACACGGCCCAGACUCCUACGGGAGGCAGCAGUGGGGAAUAUUGCGCAAUGGGGGCAACCCUGACGCAGCGAUGCCGCGUGAGUGAAGAAGGCCUUCGGGUUGUAAAGCUCUUUCAGUGGGGAAGAUAGUGGACGGUACCCACAGAGGAAGCUCCGGCUAACUCCGUGCCAGCAGCCGCGGUAAUACGGAGGGGGCGAGCGUUGUUCGGAAUUAUUGGGCGUAAAGAGCACGUAGGCGGUUUGGCAAG
This 474-nucleotide ribosomal RNA is filed under the name uncultured Magnetococcus sp. Its description in RNAcentral is "bacterial SSU rRNA". It matches the Rfam family "Bacterial small subunit ribosomal RNA", at positions 79 to 587 of the family's 1533-position model. Lineage: Bacteria; Pseudomonadati; Pseudomonadota; Magnetococcia; Magnetococcales; Magnetococcaceae. The record is from RNAcentral.